CUGCUCCUUCAAAGUUCACAACACAAUGAAUUAAUUCCUAAAACACUCUCAAUGCUGGAGAGCGUUUGUGAUGCUGAAGCAGUGACCAGUUUUUCUGUUUCUUCUCUGGAGAUGCACAAUGAGGGACGUCUGCAGAGACUGAGAAAGAGUCUCACCACAUCCUGACAUGAGGAAAAAGACUUGAUUGAAGACUACAAUGAGAAAAACUAUCAGACAGCAGACGGCUGCAUUCAAGUCUGUAGCUGCUGAAUUCAUGGAUGAAUCAUCUGGCAGUAGAGAGGAAGACCAUCAAACAUUCACGUCAGCUGAUGGAGGUCCAAGAGUCUCACCGAACAACCAACCUACAGAGUGAAGACCUCGAAUCUGAUUGGACGGCCUCCUAUUCAGCCACAUGUGUGAACAAAUGCCUCAAAGUUGAUUUGUUUUCUGAAAUAAAUCUAGUUUGAGUC
Amphiprion ocellaris (clown anemonefish) is the source of this 449-nucleotide long non-coding RNA. The record is from Ensembl. NCBI's taxonomy places the organism in Eukaryota, Metazoa, Chordata, Actinopteri, Pomacentridae.